This is a non-coding RNA of Podarcis lilfordi (Lilford's wall lizard), 75 nucleotides long. Lineage: Eukaryota; Metazoa; Chordata; Lepidosauria; Squamata; Lacertidae. The record is from the annotation of a GenBank genome assembly.
AGCCAGAGGUGGUCUAGUGGUUAGAGCAUCAAACUAGGGACCUGGGGGGCCAGGGCUCAAAUCCCCACUUGGCCA